This 74-nucleotide transfer RNA is filed under the name compost metagenome. RNAcentral describes it as "tRNA-Arg". The record is from RNAcentral.
ACACUGAUGACAAAGGCUUUCUAUUUGCCCUCCGAAGGCAGGGGUCGUGGGUUCGAAUCCCGCCUGGUGCACCA